Molecule: ribosomal RNA, 515 nt
Filed under: uncultured bacterium
Lineage: Bacteria
Description: bacterial SSU rRNA
Rfam family: Bacterial small subunit ribosomal RNA
Source: RNAcentral
CGCUGGCGGCGUGCCUAAUACAUGCAAGUCGAACGGUCUUUUCUAUGGAAGCUUGCUUCCACUGAGAAGAUAGUGGCGAACGGGUGAGUAACACGUGGGUAACCUGCCCAUAAGAGGGGGAUAACAUCCGGAAACGGGUGCUAAUACCGCAUAGUUUUUCUUGAUCGCAUGAUCGGGAAAGGAAAGACGGCCUUUGUGCUGUCGCUUUAUGGAUGGACCCGCGGCGUAUUAGUUAGUUGGUGAGGUAACGGCUCACCAAGACGAUGAUACGUAGCCGACCUGAGAGGGUGAUCGGCCACAUUGGGACUGAGACACGGCCCAAACUCCUACGGGAGGCAGCAGUAGGGAAUCUUCCGCAAUGGACGAAAGUCUGACGGAGCAACGCCGCGUGAGUGAAGAAAAGGUUUUCGGAUCGUAAAACUCUGUUGUCAGAGAAGAACAAGUUGGAGAGUAACUGCUCCAGCCUUGACGGUAUCUGACCAGAAAGCCACGGCUAACUACGUGCCAGCCGCAGC